UUUGUCUUAGUAUAUUAGUACAAAAAUCUUUGAAGUUUAAAGAAAAAGUUUAAAACUUUUAGACAAAA
RNAcentral lists this transfer RNA (68 nucleotides) under Frankliniella intonsa. RNAcentral's name for it is "tRNA-Gln". It matches the Rfam family "tRNA". From Rfam's summary of the family: Transfer RNA (tRNA) molecules are approximately 80 nucleotides in length. Their secondary structure includes four short double-helical elements and three loops (D, anti-codon, and T loops). The record is from RNAcentral. Lineage: Eukaryota; Metazoa; Arthropoda; Insecta; Thysanoptera; Thripidae.